RNAcentral lists this ribosomal RNA (800 nucleotides) under Staphylococcus sp. K156. Its description in RNAcentral is "bacterial SSU rRNA". It matches the Rfam family "Bacterial small subunit ribosomal RNA", at positions 59 to 839 of the family's 1533-position model. Lineage: Bacteria; Bacillati; Bacillota; Bacilli; Caryophanales; Staphylococcaceae. The record is from RNAcentral.
CAGUCGAGCGAACGGAUAAGGAGCUUGCUCCUUUGAAGUUAGCGGCGGACGGGUGAGUAACACGUGGGUAACCUACCUAUAAGACUGGAAUAACUUCGGGAAACCGGAGCUAAUGCCGGAUAACAUAUAGAACCGCAUGGUUCUAUAGUGAAAGAUGGUUUUGCUAUCACUUAUAGAUGGACCCGCGCCGUAUUAGCUAGUUGGUAAGGUAAUGGCUUACCAAGGCGACGAUACGUAGCCGACCUGAGAGGGUGAUCGGCCACACUGGAACUGAGACACGGUCCAGACUCCUACGGGAGGCAGCAGUAGGGAAUCUUCCGCAAUGGGCGAAAGCCUGACGGAGCAACGCCGCGUGAGUGAUGAAGGUUUUCGGAUCGUAAAACUCUGUUAUUAGGGAAGAACAAAUGCGUAAGUAACUGUGCGCAUCUUGACGGUACCUAAUCAGAAAGCCACGGCUAACUACGUGCCAGCAGCCGCGGUAAUACGUAGGUGGCAAGCGUUAUCCGGAAUUAUUGGGCGUAAAGCGCGCGUAGGCGGUUUCUUAAGUCUGAUGUGAAAGCCCACGGCUCAACCGUGGAGGGUCAUUGGAAACUGGGAAACUUGAGUGCAGAAGAGGAAAGUGGAAUUCCAUGUGUAGCGGUGAAAUGCGCAGAGAUAUGGAGGAACACCAGUGGCGAAGGCGACUUUCUGGUCUGUAACUGACGCUGAUGUGCGAAAGCGUGGGGAUCAAACAGGAUUAGAUACCCUGGUAGUCCACGCCGUAAAACGAUGAGUGCUAAGUGUUAGGGGGUUUCCGCCCC